CAAUAGCGUAUAUUAAAGCUGUUGCGGUUAAAAAGCUCGUAGUUGGAUUUCUGUCAAGGACAACUGGUCCGCCCUCCGGGUGAGCACAUAGUUUGGUCUUGGCAUCUUGUUCAAAACUGUUACUGCGCUUGGUUGUGUGGUGCAGUUUUGGGCACUUUCACUUUGAGGAAAUUGGAGUGUUUCAAGCAGGCACAUGCCUUUGGACACAGUAGCAUGGAAUAAUUAGAUUGGGCUUUUGCUCCAACUUGUCGGUUCCUGGAGCUGAGGUGAGAAUCAAUGGGGAUUGUUGGGGGCAUCUGAAUUUAGCCGUCAGAGGUGAAAUUCUUGGAUCUGCUAAAGACGGACAACUGCGAAAGCGCUUGCCCAGGAUGUUUUCAUUGA
Molecule: ribosomal RNA, 381 nt
Filed under: uncultured eukaryote
Lineage: Eukaryota
Description: partial 18S ribosomal RNA
Rfam family: Eukaryotic small subunit ribosomal RNA
Source: RNAcentral